GGGGAUGAUAUGGCUUCGAUUAGAGCAUCGAGGCUUGAUUGCAUGUCGGCCUGAGCAUGCCGUUACGCGGCUCAUUUUUUUUAGACGCAAACAAUACAAAUUACGCUCCAGCUUACGCAAAAGCUGCGUAAGUUUAACAACUUAUAACGAGCUCCCUUCGGGUUGAGCUUUUGGAGGUUCGCUCUGUAGAUUCUAUCUAUGCAGGAUAUAGCGGAUUCACCCAGAUAGAUUACCAAAAAAAGAUUGAUCUACCUUUUUUGGGACACUCCUAGAUCUUAGCUUUUUAGUUGCCUUGCGGGUUGAGCUGCUAUAAAGUGAAAUUUUUCAAUCCUUUCUAAGCAUGUAGACGUCAAGAGUAGAUGUUUUAAGACUCCGGUUCGAUCCCGGACAUCUCCACCA
This 399-nucleotide transfer-messenger RNA is filed under the name Arcobacteraceae. RNAcentral's name for it is "ARW1-2F2 sp024267655 Standard tmRNA". It matches the Rfam family "transfer-messenger RNA". Rfam says of the family: Bacterial tmRNA, also known as 10Sa RNA or SsrA, is named for its dual tRNA and mRNA-like properties. Lineage: Bacteria; Pseudomonadati; Campylobacterota; Epsilonproteobacteria; Campylobacterales. The record is from RNAcentral. RNAcentral also lists the same sequence under 1 other name.